Molecule: non-coding RNA, 2404 nt
Organism: Manis javanica (Malayan pangolin)
Lineage: Eukaryota; Metazoa; Chordata; Mammalia; Pholidota; Manidae
Source: RefSeq, a predicted model, not a curated record
ACUGAAAUGCUCCAUCUUGCUCAGCCUGAAGGACAAUGGCACUAAUCCUAAGGACAAAUUAAAAGUUCGAAAAAGCAAAUGGCUUGGAGGAAAGCUGUUCGAAACCUCACACAAUGAGGAAACAAAUACCUUCCGAAGGGCUGUUAGGAAGAGACCCAGCCAUCAGUGCAAAGGUCUCCGUUUCCCUGCGCCCUGUUUCUAUCAGUAAGACCUUGCCAAGGCUCUCAUGAUGCAAAGUUGUGACUCUAAACCGGGCAUCUCAGCAAAGCUCUUUCCCUUCCUGUAGAAGCCCAGGUCAAUUGGGGGGCCAGUGGUCAAACCAGCAGGCUUUCAGGAGCACCUGACGCUCAGAGCAGGCCUCGUCCUUUUUCUGCCUUUCUGUAGCAGAUCGCCUUUUGCAGGCUUGGCUCUGAUCUCAGCCCCUCUUGCUCCACUUUCUUGGCUGUCGGCCUGGUCUCCUGCCGUCCUCAUCUGUAGGAGCUGCACAGCUCAGCAAGAAACUGUUCUUCGUGCGCCCAUCACAGCACGGGAAGAAAACGAACAUGGAGAUACUAGCCUGAAGAGCAAAAGAAGCUCUUGUUGCAGAGCCAAAUUCACUCUUUUAAGGACUUUGGGUUUUAGAAAAGGAAACCUCCACAAACUGAAAGAUAAGAUGAAAAAGUACUGUCUUAAAACUGCCAAGUCUGUUUUUUCUCACGUAAGUGACAACACGUAGCAGGAUCAUGAGAGAAAUGCCCUUUCACUGAGUGCUGAUUGGUUUUCAGACUCCAGCUAAACAAAAAGCCUCAAGGCACUAAUACCAAGCCAGUUCCACUCCGGAAUGGUGCUCCUUGGUGGCCACACUGCACAGAUGUCCAGUAUGUGGAUAAGAAGUCCCCAGAGCCUGCCCGAAAUCAAGACACCCAGCACUUCUUCCCAAGGGACUGCUUUGACACUAAGGAGUGAUCCAUCUUGAGAAAAUUAUUUAACUUCUCUGUGCCUCAGUUCCUUCAUCUAUAAUUAUAAUAGUAUCAAUCUUGUCAAGUUAUAGGUAGCAUUAAAAGAGUUAAUACAUGCAAAGAUUUGGAAAAGUCUAGGUAUUAUGUGGUGAACCAAUAAUACUAUUAUAUUAAGAACUUAUAAACAUUUCAUCAAGUCUUACAAUGUAGUUUUAUUUUUCAGAUACUUUUUUUACCCUUACAGUAUUUUACAUUCUUUGAAGUAGAAACUGAGUGCAUGCCUAUUGUAUACUUUGUACAAAAUUUUGCAGAGUAAGUCUUUAAUAGAUUCGAUUCAUAAGCAAAUGCGUGAAGGGGAUAGACAAAUCUCAAGUUCAGGUAUAUUAUAGAAAGAACUUAAGUGUAGAUAUUGAUUUUAGAAAUCUGCUCUAGAAAGCACUGUAGAUAGUGGACUUCACCAGUGAAAAUCAAAAAAGAAAGGAGAAAACCAAAGAAGAGAGAUCAUGGAAAGGAGAUGGAGCAAGCACACACUGAAAAUGGUUCUGAAAGGAGGGCAGAGUCACUCAGUAUCAUCAAAAAAUGUAACAGGGGACUUCUGUGAUCAGGUGUGUGUGAGAAAACUGAUUUGAUCAAUUUGGAUGAUUAUUAGAGUAUCAUUUUUUUCAUUAACAAUAGUAGCACCCAAGUACUCUAAGAUUCUGAGAAGUUAAGUGGAUUGCCCAGGCCCACACAACUGGAAAGUCGCCAAAUAGGAUUCAGCCCAAGACUCCACGGACUGUACUUUAUUUGAUAAAUGUCUGGUAAUAGCAAGUUUACCCCAAGAUUGGAUACAAGCGUACUACUCUGCUAGUACUGAAUCUGCUUUUUGUUGAUUUAUUAUUCUGUUUUACAAUUUGUUGUUUAUUUUACUUAAUUAUGCUUUGCAAAAUGGAUUAAGUGCACUAAAUCUGUUAUAAAUAAGUCUCUUUCUUGUAUAUAAACAAUGCUGCUUUGUUAUUUCCCAGGGAUUUCCCUGGGUCCAGUCCAAAAACACAGAGUUUCCAAGACUGCUGCUUCCCUCACUGAGCUACUCUACAACCCACCACUGAUGGCUACAGAGAAGGGCAUGUUCAGAGCGUCUGAAAAGUCACAACCCGCAGACAGGAACAGGCGUGCUGCCAAACACUUCUUACUUGCUCCACUUUAACAAAUAGCACCCUGAACCAGUCUAUGCUUGGAUCCUUCAGUUUGUCACUGAAUAAUUCAUGGUUAUUUAAUUUUGUCCCGUAUCAAAAGAUUUACAAUAUGCAAUCUUUUAAGCUUAAUCUUUACAAAGAUUGUAAGUAUGUCACAGGGAGUAUUUAAAGCUUCACUGUUCUGUUUAGUACCUUCAACUUUGCCAAUGAAAAGAGCCACAGGAAUUGAUGUAUUCUUAUCCAAUUUGAGAUUAGAUAAUACUUGUAAAUAAAGAAUGACAUCUGAUAGCA